AACCAAUAUCGCAAGAUGAAUUGUCCAGUUGAUCGCUGGAUUGAAUGACGUGUCACACAUACACUGGGAUGUGUGAUGGUGAUCCGAGUUAGAGGCCUUUGGUCUUGUCGGACCUGCCAUCGUGCAGCCCACUCAU
Molecule: unclassified non-coding RNA, 136 nt
Filed under: uncultured soil eukaryote
Lineage: Eukaryota
Description: sequence contains ITS2
Source: RNAcentral